Molecule: ribosomal RNA, 2902 nt
Filed under: Escherichia coli
Lineage: Bacteria; Pseudomonadati; Pseudomonadota; Gammaproteobacteria; Enterobacterales; Enterobacteriaceae
Description: bacterial LSU rRNA
Rfam family: Bacterial large subunit ribosomal RNA
Source: RNAcentral
UUAAGCGACUAAGCGUACACGGUGGAUGCCCUGGCAGUCAGAGGCGAUGAAGGACGUGCUAAUCUGCGAUAAGCGUCGGUAAGGUGAUAUGAACCGUUAUAACCGGCGAUUUCCGAAUGGGGAAACCCAGUGUGUUUCGACACACUAUCAUUAACUGAAUCCAUAGGUUAAUGAGGCGAACCGGGGGAACUGAAACAUCUAAGUACCCCGAGGAAAAGAAAUCAACCGAGAUUCCCCCAGUAGCGGCGAGCGAACGGGGAGCAGCCCAGAGCCUGAAUCAGUGUGUGUGUUAGUGGAAGCGUCUGGAAAGGCGCGCGAUACAGGGUGACAGCCCCGUACACAAAAAUGCACAUACUGUGAGCUCGAUGAGUAGGGCGGGACACGUGGUAUCCUGUCUGAAUAUGGGGGGACCAUCCUCCAAGGCUAAAUACUCCUGACUGACCGAUAGUGAACCAGUACCGUGAGGGAAAGGCGAAAAGAACCCCGGCGAGGGGAGUGAAAAAGAACCUGAAACCGUGUACGUACAAGCAGUGGGAGCACGCUUAGGCGUGUGACUGCGUACCUUUUGUAUAAUGGGUCAGCGACUUAUAUUCUGUAGCAAGGUUAACCGAAUAGGGGAGCCGAAGGGAAACCGAGUCUUAACUGGGCGUUAAGUUGCAGGGUAUAGACCCGAAACCCGGUGAUCUAGCCAUGGGCAGGUUGAAGGUUGGGUAACACUAACUGGAGGACCGAACCGACUAAUGUUGAAAAAUUAGCGGAUGACUUGUGGCUGGGGGUGAAAGGCCAAUCAAACCGGGAGAUAGCUGGUUCUCCCCGAAAGCUAUUUAGGUAGCGCCUCGUGAAUUCAUCUCCGGGGGUAGAGCACUGUUUCGGCAAGGGGGUCAUCCCGACUUACCAACCCGAUGCAAACUGCGAAUACCGGAGAAUGUUAUCACGGGAGACACACGGCGGGUGCUAACGUCCGUCGUGAAGAGGGAAACAACCCAGACCGCCAGCUAAGGUCCCAAAGUCAUGGUUAAGUGGGAAACGAUGUGGGAAGGCCCAGACAGCCAGGAUGUUGGCUUAGAAGCAGCCAUCAUUUAAAGAAAGCGUAAUAGCUCACUGGUCGAGUCGGCCUGCGCGGAAGAUGUAACGGGGCUAAACCAUGCACCGAAGCUGCGGCAGCGACGCUGAUGCGUUGUUGGGUAGGGGAGCGUUCUGUAAGCCUGCGAAGGUGUGCUGUGAGGCAUGCUGGAGGUAUCAGAAGUGCGAAUGCUGACAUAAGUAACGAUAAAGCGGGUGAAAAGCCCGCUCGCCGGAAGACCAAGGGUUCCUGUCCAACGUUAAUCGGGGCAGGGUGAGUCGACCCCUAAGGCGAGGCCGAAAGGCGUAGUCGAUGGGAAACAGGUUAAUAUUCCUGUACUUGGUGUUACUGCGAAGGGGGGACGGAGAAGGCUAUGUUGGCCGGGCGACGGUUGUCCCGGUUUAAGCGUGUAGGCUGGUUUUCCAGGCAAAUCCGGAAAAUCAAGGCUGAGGCGUGAUGACGAGGCACUACGGUGCUGAAGCAACAAAUGCCCUGCUUCCAGGAAAAGCCUCUAAGCAUCAGGUAACAUCAAAUCGUACCCCAAACCGACACAGGUGGUCAGGUAGAGAAUACCAAGGCGCUUGAGAGAACUCGGGUGAAGGAACUAGGCAAAAUGGUGCCGUAACUUCGGGAGAAGGCACGCUGAUAUGUAGGUGAAGCGACUUGCUCGUGGAGCUGAAAUCAGUCGAAGAUACCAGCUGGCUGCAACUGUUUAUUAAAAACACAGCACUGUGCAAACACGAAAGUGGACGUAUACGGUGUGACGCCUGCCCGGUGCCGGAAGGUUAAUUGAUGGGGUCAGCGCAAGCGAAGCUCUUGAUCGAAGCCCCGGUAAACGGCGGCCGUAACUAUAACGGUCCUAAGGUAGCGAAAUUCCUUGUCGGGUAAGUUCCGACCUGCACGAAUGGCGUAAUGAUGGCCAGGCUGUCUCCACCCGAGACUCAGUGAAAUUGAACUCGCUGUGAAGAUGCAGUGUACCCGCGGCAAGACGGAAAGACCCCGUGAACCUUUACUAUAGCUUGACACUGAACAUUGAGCCUUGAUGUGUAGGAUAGGUGGGAGGCUUUGAAGUGUGGACGCCAGUCUGCAUGGAGCCGACCUUGAAAUACCACCCUUUAAUGUUUGAUGUUCUAACGUUGACCCGUGAUCCGGGUUGCGGACAGUGUCUGGUGGGUAGUUUGACUGGGGCGGUCUCCUCCUAAAGAGUAACGGAGGAGCACGAAGGUUGGCUAAUCCUGGUCGGACAUCAGGAGGUUAGUGCAAUGGCAUAAGCCAGCUUGACUGCGAGCGUGACGGCGCGAGCAGGUGCGAAAGCAGGUCAUAGUGAUCCGGUGGUUCUGAAUGGAAGGGCCAUCGCUCAACGGAUAAAAGGUACUCCGGGGAUAACAGGCUGAUACCGCCCAAGAGUUCAUAUCGACGGCGGUGUUUGGCACCUCGAUGUCGGCUCAUCACAUCCUGGGGCUGAAGUAGGUCCCAAGGGUAUGGCUGUUCGCCAUUUAAAGUGGUACGCGAGCUGGGUUUAGAACGUCGUGAGACAGUUCGGUCCCUAUCUGCCGUGGGCGCUGGAGAACUGAGGGGGGCUGCUCCUAGUACGAGAGGACCGGAGUGGACGCAUCACUGGUGUUCGGGUUGUCAUGCCAAUGGCACUGCCCGGUAGCUAAAUGCGGAAGAGAUAAGUGCUGAAAGCAUCUAAGCACGAAACUUGCCCCGAGAUGAGUUCUCCCUGACUCCUUGAGAGUCCUGAAGGAACGUUGAAGACGACGACGUUGAUAGGCCGGGUGUGUAAGCGCAGCGAUGCGUUGAGCUAACCGGUACUAAUGAACCGUGAGGCUUAACCUU